This 253-nucleotide ribosomal RNA is filed under the name uncultured bacterium. RNAcentral describes it as "partial 16S ribosomal RNA". It matches the Rfam family "Bacterial small subunit ribosomal RNA", at positions 524 to 776 of the family's 1533-position model. The record is from RNAcentral.
UACGAAGGGGGCUAGCGUUGCUCGGAAUUACUGGGCGUAAAGCGCACGUAGGCGGUCUUUUAAGUUAGAGGUGAAAGCCCGGGGCUCAACUCCGGAAUUGCCUUUAAGACUGCAUCGCUCGAAUUGUGGAGAGGUAAGUGGAAUUCCGAGUGUAGAGGUGAAAUUCGUAGAUAUUCGGAAGAACACCAGUGGCGAAGGCGACUUACUGGACACAUAUUGACGCUGAGGUGCGAAAGCGUGGGGAGCAAACAGG